GACGAACGCUGGCGGCGUGCUUAACACAUGCAAGUCGAACGGAAAGGCCCUGCUUUUGUGGGGUGCUCGAGUGGCGAACGGGUGAGUAACACGUGAGUAACCUGCCCUUGACUUUGGGAUAACUUCAGGAAACUGGGGCUAAUACCGGAUAGGAGCUCCUGCUGCAUGGUGGGGGUUGGAAAGUUUCGGCGGUUGGGGAUGGACUCGCGGCUUAUCAGCUUGUUGGUGGGGUAGUGGCUUACCAAGGCUUUGACGGGUAGCCGGCCUGAGAGGGUGACCGGCCACAUUGGGACUGAGAUACGGCCCAGACUCCUACGGGAGGCAGCAGUGGGGAAUAUUGCACAAUGGGCGGAAGCCUGAUGCAGCAACGCCGCGUGCGGGAUGACGGCCUUCGGGUUGUAAACCGCUUUCGCCUGUGACGAAGCGUGAGUGACGGUAAUGGGUAAAGAAGCACCGGCUAACUACGUGCCAGCAGCCGCGGUGAUACGUAGGGUGCGAGCGUUGUCCGGAUUUAUUGGGCGUAAAGGGCUCGUAGGUGAUUGAUCGCGUCGGAAGUGUAAUCUUGGGGCUUAACCCUGAGCGUGCUUUCGAUACGGGUUGACUUGAGGAAGGUAGGGGAGAAUGGAAUUCCUGGUGGAGCGGUGGAAUGCGCAGAUAUCAGGAGGAACACCAGUGGCGAAGGCGGUUCUCUGGGCCUUUCCUGACGCUGAGGAGCGAAAGCGUGGGGAGCGAACAGGCUUAGAUACCCUGGUAGCCCACGCUGUAAACGGUGGGUACUAGGUGUGGGGUCCAUUCCACGGGUUCCGUGCCGUAGCUAACGCUUUAAGUACCCCGCCUGGGGAGUACGGCCGCAAGGCUAAAACUCAAAGGAAUUGACGGGGCCCCGCACAAGCGGCGGAGCAUGCGGAUUAAUUCGAUGCAACGCGUAGAACCUUACCUGGGUUUGACAUGGAUCGGGAGCGCUCAGAGAUGGGUGUGCCUCUUUUGGGGUCGGUUCACAGGUGGUGCAUGGCUGUCGUCAGCUCGUGUCGUGAGAUGUUGGGUUAAGUCUCGCAACGAGCGCAACCCUUGUUCACUGUUGCCAGCACGUUAUGGUGGGGACUCAGUGGAGACCGCCGGGGUCAACUCGGAGGAAGGUGGGGAUGACGUCAAGUCAUCAUGCCCCUUAUGUCCAGGGCUUCACGCAUGCUACAAUGGCUGGUACAGAGAGUGGCGAGCCUGUGAGGGUGAGCGAAUCUCGGAAAGCCGGUCUCAGUUCGGAUUGGGGUCUGCAACUCGACCUCAUGAAGUCGGAGUCGCUAGUAAUCGCAGAUCAGCAACGCUGCGGUGAAUACGUUCCCGGG
This 1343-nucleotide ribosomal RNA is filed under the name uncultured bacterium. Its description in RNAcentral is "16S ribosomal RNA". It matches the Rfam family "Bacterial small subunit ribosomal RNA", at positions 28 to 1378 of the family's 1533-position model. The record is from RNAcentral.